GAGUUUGAUCGUGGCUCAGGAUGAACGCUGGCGGCGUGCCUAAUACAUGCAAGUCGAGCGAACGGACGAGAAGCUUGCUUCUCUGAUGUUAGCGGCGGACGGGUGAGUAACACGUGGAUAACCUACCGUAUAAGACUGGGAUAACUUCGGGAAACCGGAGCUAAUACCGGGAUAAUAUUUUGAACCGCAUGGUUCAAAAGUGAAAGACGGUCUUGCUGUCACUUAUAGAUGGAUCCGCGCUGCAUUAGCUAGUUGGUAAGGUAACGGCUUACCAAGGCAACGAUGCGUAGCCGACCUGAGAGGGUGAUCGGCCACACUGGAACUGAGACACGGUCCAGACUCCUACGGGAGGCAGCAGUAGGGAAUCUUCCGCAAUGGGCGAAAGCCUGACGGAGCAACGCCGCGUCGAGUGAUGAAGGUCUUCGGAUCGUAAAACUCUGUUA
RNAcentral lists this ribosomal RNA (443 nucleotides) under uncultured microorganism. Its description in RNAcentral is "bacterial SSU rRNA". It matches the Rfam family "Bacterial small subunit ribosomal RNA", at positions 9 to 438 of the family's 1533-position model. The record is from RNAcentral.